Molecule: long non-coding RNA, 197 nt
Organism: Humulus lupulus (European hop)
Lineage: Eukaryota; Viridiplantae; Streptophyta; Magnoliopsida; Rosales; Cannabaceae
Exons: 3
Source: RefSeq, a predicted model, not a curated record
AGGGAAUCCAAACUCUUAAGCAUAUAAGUCGGAGUGUUCCAAAAGUCCCAACUCAGUCCAUAAUCCCGGUAACUUUGGAAAAUAAGCUUAGAGGCGGAAAGAUUCGUGGCGCUUGGAGGAUGUGUAUCGAUGAUGAAUGGAGUCAAGGGGCCGAGCGUUAAUCGAUUCGAGGAUAUAGUCUCCUUUUAUGUUUUUUU